GUUAACAGAGAAAGCAAUGGCACCCCACUCCAGUACUCUUGCCGGAGGGCCUGGUGGGCUGUAGUCCAUGGGGUCACUAAGAGUCGGACACGACUGAGCGACUUCACUUUCACUUUCCCAACCCAGGGAUCAAAACUGCAUCUCUUGCAUAGGCAGGGAGAUUCUUUACCACUGAGCCACUUGAAGAGCCUGAAGUGGGCAUUAAAAGGGGCAAAAUGUCAGAAAAGAAACACCUAAAUUAAUACUCUAAAUUAUUAUCCUGCCUCACAUGUGAAAGCACAGUGACUGGCCCAUAGUAGGUGCUCAAGAAACCAGAGCUGCUAUUGACAUUGAAAAUGGGUUCUCUAAUUCUUCUUUUUUUCCUCACAGAAAUUGAAUUUUCUGGCACCUCUCUGCAGAAUAUCAUCUGAUUCUGGGCAAUCAUUUUGAGACAGCUGACUUGGGUCAGAAGAGCAGUCUGUGACUGUGGAACUGAGCAGAUUUCAUUGGAACAAAGUGAUGGAGGGAUGGAGAAGGACCCAACUCAAACUUUAGGUUUCUUGUAUCCCAUGGAAUCCAGCCACCUACAAGUCACAGUCUCUCAGAAGACACCAGAGAUGAGAUCACUCUCCAGGGGACACAAGCCUCUCACAUAAUCACCUGCUGGUACAUUUUGGCUUGCUAAGCCUAAUUCGUUUGUGAAGAGUGCUAAUGAGGAUGGGCAUUUGCUUGUGUGGACAGGAUAAGACGGUGAUGGUUAGAAGAACCAAGAUGUCAUAGGGGCCGGACUGCUCAGUAUUGUUGAGGAAUGCCAACAGCAAGAAUUCUGCAGAACACAGAAAAUGUGAUUGUCUCCUUGGCAUGUCCAGUGAAAGACAGUUUCUCUACUGAUAUAUUCUUGCCCAAUGCAUCCCAGAGAGUUUUUUCCAUCUUCAUUAUACAGGUAACACAUAUAAAUCUCAGAUCACAAAUGAACAUUGCUACAAAUUAAUAUAGUGCUGUGCUUCCUUGAAGACAUGACUUUUUUUCUUGCAUCUCUCAUUUCUUCUAGUGUGAAAAUAUUUAAUCUUAGUCCAUCUGAGGUGAAUUCAUUCAUUCGAUUCAGUGCUUCUCAGUCGAUUUAGGUGUUUUUCGUUUCCAGUUUAUAUUUGGGGUACAUCUGAUAUGUAUUUUCAAAAGGUUUCAAGUAGCGUCAAGGCAUCAAUGGGAGAAGAGUAGAUGACUGUGAUUCUUAGUCACCUAUUCAUCUUGAUAUCCUCUUAAAUUUAUAUCACUCCAUCUAAUCAUGUGCCUUAUUAUCUAUACUCUUCCAUUUGCUGAGAAAUUCAUGUUUCUCUAAUGAUGUCUGAGCACAUAAAAGGCAUCACAGGUGCUUCAUCCUGAUGAUGAGUCCCCCAAAAUUCUAGCACUCUCCCUCAUCAUUUACAUAUCACUCUUGGAGGGUAUGUAAAUAAUUGAUUGGUUUCCAGUUCCCCUCCAGGGUACUAAAAGCUCUCUGUGAUUGUCUAAGGACUUUCAUAUAAACAUAUUGUUGUCGUUUAGUCGCUAAAGCAUGUGUAACUCUUUGUGACUCUAUGGACUGUAGCCCACCAGGCUCCUCUGUCCAUGAGUUUUCCCAGGCAAGAAUAUUUCAGUGGGUUGCCAUUUCCUUCCCCAGGGGAUCUUCCUGACCCAGGGAUCAAACCCACAUCUCCUGCUUGGCAGAUGGAUGGCCUUUUAUGGGUUAAAUUUUGUAUCCCAACAAAAGAUGUGUUGAAGUCCCAAAUUCUCUUAUGUAUGUGAUCUUAUUUAGAAAUAGAAUCUAUAUAAUAAAUGCAUAAAUUUAUAAAUAUAUAAAUUAAAUAAAUCUAAUUAAGUUGAGUUCAUUAUAUUGGGGCCUAAUUCAGUAUGACUGAUGUCUUUGUAAGAUAAUGUGGAAACAGACACACACAAGGAACCAACAGGCAUGUCACGACAGAGGUAAAGGUUGCAAAGAUGUAUCUACAAAGUCAGGGCACAUCAAAGAUUGCUGUCCACCAUCAGACACUAGGAAGAGGAAAUGAAGGAUUCUACUCAGAGUCUCAGAAAGAGGAAAAAGCCCUGCUGACACUUCGAUUUGAGAUUUCUAGCCCCUCAAACAUGUGAGGUAGUAAAUUUUUUUUAAAGUUAUUAAACCUGUAGGUGGUAUUAUAGCAGCCCUAGGAAACGCAUAUAGGUCCUUAUGCCAUGCUGGCAGAGACAUUUAUCAACUCCACAAGUCCCAAGAAUUUGCCCAGCUUGAGGUGUACAAGUUCUUGUAUUUUUGGAUCCUAAAGCUCAUUUAUGAACCUUAUUAUGUAUCUAAUCCUGGAAAUUAGUCUGAGGAAGAAGUUAUUAGAAAGACUUGGUAUAAGUCCCUUUCUUGGGGCAAAUAUGAAGUUCUAAUUCUCUUGCCUUUGGCUUCAUCUCCAUUCCAGUUUCAUUUAGAAUGGGUUUAUGAAAAAAAUAUUAAAUGGAUCACUUAUUCUUCUAUGUCUACUGUUUGGUAUAGUCAUUGUUUCUUGAACUGUUAGGAUUUUGGCCUUCUUAUACAAAGUCAAGUUUCUAACAACUUUAGCGUUUUGUUCCCUCAAGAAUUUGUCUCUGUAAGGUAUUUCCAAAGCAUAUUUUGAAACUUAAUGGCUGAGAAUUUACCUUUUCCACUGUGCGCUUCUAUUUAAUCAUCCUUCUCCCAAGUGGCAUGGAUUGAAUGCAGGAAGACAAAGAGGAACAGAAACUUCCAGCAAAAGAAUCACUUUGAUUAAUCUUGCAAAACAUCCUAUCAUUAUUUGGAAAACUCUUCUGAAGUUAGAUCAUUAGAUUUGGUAAUUUUGUUUAUUAACAGUGUAUAUGGUUUCACAAAAUUCUCUCUUUGGUUCUGUUCUAACUGAGAAUAUCCUCCCAGAUGGUAGUGGAAUUGCACUUGACUCAGUAGAAAAUGUUAAAGGGAAUUAAAAUGUAUCACUUUCUUCUUUAUAAAGAGAACUGAGAAAUCUUAAGGGAAAGUGUGGGUUUAGGAGUGAAAUUUUAGAUUGUGCUUUACAUCUUACUGGGGGAUUUUGUAUAUGCUGGUUCUGUUUAGGACUUUCAGUUGGUAUUAACCCUAGGAUCAAGGAUUACCUGAUUUUGAUAUUGACUCAUUUUUACAUGGGCCCUGAAGGAGAGAUAUGAACAUAAGAGAGAAAUCAACACAAAUGAAUAUGAAAGCUUUUGACCUCGAGCCACAGGCAGAAUUCUGACGAGCUAGACUGAACCUUGUGGAGAGGUCUGUGUGAAAGACUUAUAUUAUUUGGCAUUUAUGCUAGACGUUCUGUUGGCAUCUUGACACAACUCCAUGAUGUAUUUUAUUCGGUAGAGGAUAGAACUAUAGAUUCUAUAUUUCAGACAUCUUGACAGUUUAACUUUUUACCAAGGUGGGAUAUUUUGGCUCAGGCAGCCUAUCGUGAACAUUUACUUUUUGGGUGGCCAAGGGAAGUUCAAGUCUAUCUUCUUCUCCGGUACUUGGAGGAAUGUGUUUGACUUUCAGGAUGUCAAGUGACAUAUGAUAGGGCUCUGAUCUUAGAGUAAAAUGAUAUUCAAUUCAGUCUUAACCUUCUUGGUAAUUUAUUAUUAAUUUGGGUAUGUCUGGGCCUAAACAUAAUUAUCUUUUUCUGUAAAGUGGAAGAGUCAGAACAGUUGACUUGGAAUUUAUUCUGGUUAGUCCUUAAACUUUCUAACGAAUAAUGCAUUUGUUAGACUAAACAUUGCCUUUAAACUCCUAUUCGGUUUUAAUUCCUUAAACUUUCCCAAAAGUUCUUAUAUAGUGAGAAAAGAUACUUGGUAUAG
This is a long non-coding RNA of Bos grunniens (domestic yak), 3801 nucleotides long. NCBI's taxonomy places the organism in Eukaryota, Metazoa, Chordata, Mammalia, Artiodactyla, Bovidae. The record is from Ensembl.